RNAcentral lists this long non-coding RNA (304 nucleotides) under Nicotiana benthamiana. Its description in RNAcentral is "long non-coding RNA (NBEN_LNC011563)". Lineage: Eukaryota; Viridiplantae; Streptophyta; Magnoliopsida; Solanales; Solanaceae. The record is from RNAcentral.
CUUCUUCUUCUCCUUCCUCUUUAGAAUUUUCAUGUGGCAUUUUUUAAUGUAAUGCAUCAAAUGGUAACGUGAAUGCCUUGAAUUUAAUCGUUCUCUCACAUCAGGAUUUGCAGUAAGCCAGUCUAUAAUUUCCUUCGAUUUAAUCACCUCAUCCGUGUCUAGAGUGUUCUCUCACGUCAGGAUUUGCAGUAAGCCAGUCUAUAAUUUCCUUCGAUUUAAUCACCUCAUCCGUGUCUAGAGAUUCUAACCAGGAAUAAACAGGCAUCCACUGAUCAGUUCGUUGAAAUCGAUGAUCAAAAUUUUC